AAAACAGACCACUAGGCUCUACCAAUCAGCAGGAUGUGGGUGGGGGCCAGAUAAGAAAAUAAAAGCAGGCUGCCUGAGACAGCAGUGGCAACCCGCUCCGGUGUCCUUCCAUGCUGUGGAGGCUCUGUUGUUUCGCUCUUUCUACUGCUUACUCUUCGGGUCCACACUGCUUUUAUGAGCUGUAACACUCACCCUGAAGGUUUGCAACUUGACUCCUGAAGCCAGCAAGACCACGAGCCCCAGGGAGGAACGAACAACUCCAGACGCGCUGCCUUAAGAGCUGUAACACUCACCGAGAAGGUCUGCAGCUUCACUCCUGAGCCAGCGAGGCCACGAACCCACCAGAAGGAAGAAACUCUGAACACAUCCGAACAUCAGAAGGAACAAACUCCAGACGUGCCACCUUAAGAGCUGUUAACACUCACCGCGAGGGUCCGCGGCUUCAUUUUUGAAGUCAGUGAGACCAAGAACCAACCAAUUCGGGACACAAUACCAACUCUUUCAUGCCAGGAGAAGCCUCCUUAAAAAAUUUCGGUGAUUAACAGCAGCACAUGGGUCAAAAUCUCCUGAAAGUUGAGCAGGGGAGCUGUAGAAGAAUUCCUCCUUUUCUCGCAGAUGAAAUCUUAUGAUAUAGCAGGGGUUACCUGGCCAAGAAGGAACACAGAGGAGAACAAAGAAAAUUCAAGGAACUAAAUUCCUUCUCCACCUCAACCACCAGCAUUGAUACUCCAUCACUUAUGUACUGCAUCAAGCCGUCCUCAGAGGUGAGGAAGGUGCUGUCAAGACUAGAAGCAUGUGUCCCUCUCUCCAUUGCAAGAUGGGACAUAGAGAGGAGAAAAGUGGCAGACAGAAGGUUGGUAGAAAGCAGGUGUCACCAUACUGCUGUACACACAAACUGUUAGGCCUAGAUUUUGCUUUCUCCUUCUUGCUUUAAGCCUCUAUCUAGUUUCCCAAAUCCUGCUGCUUUUGCGUCAAUGGUAGGAAAAUAUUAGCCAUGAUAACCCUUCAAACACCCUUAUAAGGCUGUGAAUUGAAUGUACCAAGGGAGGUAACUUUAUUGGAGUUGUCUCUGAUAAGGGACAACUCCAAUAAAAUUAAGUAAAAAUAUUAAGAUUAUUGUUGAUCUUGAGCCAAGAAAAUGCAGGGGAAACAAUGGAAAAAUACCUUUAAAUAAUGAAAACAAAAAUAAAAUAAGAGCUGGUCUACUCACUACUUCAUCCCAUCUCGUCUGUAAAAUAAUACCAUCAGAAAAGUGUUCAAAAUUCUCUGUAGUCAAGGACUUCUCCUGCUGGUUAGAAUGCAAAAUAAUAUGAAAGACUUUUGAUCCUCUAGUAAUAUACAAGUGUAUAUAUAUUUUUUGAGACAGGGUCUUGCUUUGUUGUCUAAACUGGAAUGCAGUGGUAUGAUAUUGUCUCACUGCAGUCUCUGCCUCCUAGGCUCAAGCAAUCCUCCUGCCUCAGCCUCCCAAGUAGCUGGCACUAUAGGCAUAUGCCACCAUGCCUGGCUAAUUUUUUUAUUUUUUUGUAAAAACAGAGUUUUGCCAUGUUGCCCAGGCUGGUCUUGAGUUCCUGGGCUCAUGUGAUCCACCUGCCUUGGUCUCCCAAAGUGCUGGGAUUACAAGCAUGAGCCAGCACACUCAGCCUACAUUUUUCAAUAUGCAUGAAAUUAUAUGGUUUGGAUGUGCUCAUUUUACUAUAUUAAAGUAUAUUUCAAUAAAAAGCCAGUAGGCAUGAAAACAUAA
This is a long non-coding RNA of Homo sapiens (human), 1741 nucleotides long. Ensembl annotates it as long intergenic non-protein coding RNA 2432. Lineage: Eukaryota; Metazoa; Chordata; Mammalia; Primates; Hominidae. The record is from Ensembl.